This 179-nucleotide non-coding RNA is filed under the name Geosporobacter ferrireducens. Lineage: Bacteria; Bacillati; Bacillota; Clostridia; Peptostreptococcales; Thermotaleaceae. The record is from RNAcentral.
AAAGAAAAUAAAUAAAUAGGUUCAAUAGAUAAAACCUCUAUUGAUUAAAAGAGAAGUUGGGUGCACAUCCUACGUGGUCCCGCUGCUGUAAAAGAGGAGUUCUUGCUGAUAUGCCGCUGGGAAACCGGAAAGGCUGUAAAUUGAUCAUUAGAAAGAAUUGACAAUUUAGGGAGAGGAUU